UGAGGCAGUCCAACAGCAGAAGUAUUUCAGGAUGUGGGCUGAAGAGCAGAGUGAGAUGAUACAGGAGAGACUCCAAACCAAGAGAAGCACACAGAGGAUUCAGCAUUGAAAACCAAACCCAGGCAGAGCUCACAGACACAGGAGACUUGCAAGGAGCAGAUCUGGCUGGGAGCAGAGGCAUUGCUUGUACUCCUGCCUCAAAGUGCUCGGUGACAGGGCACAUCAGGAACGCCUAGACAAGCCCUAGCACAAGAAACCCAGGGAAUCCACCCUGAAAAUACUUAAAGCUAGCCACAUCAUCCAAGAGAAGGGCUUCAGUAACGGUCUGGAAGCAUCCAUGAAGAUUAUAUUUGCCUCCUUCUUAAACAUUGCCAUCUGAGAAGUCUGCCUUGCAGCUAGAAAUCAGGAUAUUCGUGGGAGCUGAAUGGGAAAGAUAAUUUAUAUAUUCUUUUUUUUUUUUUCAAAAGUUGUACCACUUCAUAGGGGCAAGCCUGUUGAAGAUCCACAAGCAAUCAGAUGAAGUGAAGGAUUUAGCAGAAAAUUGGAAGAACAAGACUCUUUUUGCAUCAGAUGAAGGGAAGCUGAGAACCUGGGAGAAGUGAACUGAUGCCCCUGGAAAUCUGACCAGGUACUCUGAUAUUUGAAGAUCGAACCAAAUGUCAGGUCCUUCCUACUGACAGACUUCAGGACUGUGGGAACAGCUCUGGGGAACUAUCACGUCAUGGCUUCCAAAAGCAACACUAUAACAAACAACUAUUAUUGAGAAUUCUUGUAGUUACGUCCUCCAGCAAAGCUCUGAACCCCUCCAAGUCAUCCAUGACUAUCUCAGCUAGAUCUUCUGGAUUAACACUGCAGCUUCCACACCAGCACUUGGAUUGUUACGGAGACAACGCCUUUCCUUACACCUCAGGAACCCACCUCUGCCAGCUUCAAACUUUUCUUCUGCAGCUUCCUCACCUCUCUCAGUCUUAACAGAAUUGAAGAGUCAGGCUCUUGGGGCAUGUGGGUGGCUCAGUCGGUUGGGCGGCUGCCUUGGGCUCCUGUCAUGAUCCCAGGGUCCUGAG
Molecule: long non-coding RNA, 1064 nt
Organism: Neogale vison (American mink)
Lineage: Eukaryota; Metazoa; Chordata; Mammalia; Carnivora; Mustelidae
Exons: 4
Source: RefSeq, a predicted model, not a curated record